RNAcentral lists this long non-coding RNA (802 nucleotides) under Falco tinnunculus (common kestrel). RNAcentral's name for it is "lncRNA (ENSFTIG00000014969.1)". The record is from RNAcentral. Lineage: Eukaryota; Metazoa; Chordata; Aves; Falconiformes; Falconidae.
CGCCGAGUCCGCUCCCCAAAGCCUUCCGCCGCUUCCGGCAGCGCCGCCGCGCCGCCCCGCGCUUCCCCCCGGCGCCGUAAGCACGCGCACCGCGGAAGGGACGGCGGGAGAGGGAAAAGAGCGCUCCUGGCUGCCAUUUGAGCGAGGAUUGUGUCGGGAUCACGCCUGCCGGGCGGCCGCCAUCUUAGGAGCGGCAGGCGGGCAGAGCCACCAUCUUGGGUGUGGCGCGAGGCGGGCCCGCCGCCAGAGGCGGGAAACUGCCGCGAGGUGAGGCCUGGGGGCGGCGCGGGCGUGACUGAGGGGCGCAGCCAGCGGGUUCGUGUACCUUGCCGUUUUAUUCCUAUCUUCGUUUGUCCCUGUGCACAUCAGCUCUCAUGAUUACUGACAUUUACCCUCCAAAACAAGCAGAACUCUGGGGAAGAGGAACUUCUGUCUCAGCGCAACCUUCAAAACUGUAACACCACAGGCUUGUUACAUGCCCAGCUCCCCCUGCUUUCAUUCUGACUUCCAUGGAAUGGAAGAAACAGUGAAUACUUCUUGCCAAGGUGCAAGGCAGCAAGAUGCCUGGGACUCCUCUGUCUCAGUCUUUCUACAUCUGCAAGAUAUGAUCUUCAAGCAGUUAAUUGGCUCUCCUGGGAACAGCUGCACAGAACCAAAGGCUCAGAUGGCUCCCCUAAAUCCAUGCUUUUUUUCCAUGGACUCUGGCAGUGAUGUAUGUUUUUGCAAGAGUAAGCUACAGAAAUUUCAUUCUAGUGCUGAAGAAAAUCUGAUUUACUGUUCACAAUGCAUUUUUCUCACCUGA